AAAACAUGCAACAUUACAUAUUGCAACCAUGGGAAGAAGCCAAUUGAAAUACCAGCCAACUGCUACCAUUGUCCUGCUUACAGAUGUGUGACAAGACUUGGGGCAGAGAUCCUGGAGGAAGGUUCAGACAGUCUUCUGUUCUGCUCAGUGUCCUCUGUCCCUCCAGCUUUUCUCACCUGGACAGUAAACGGUCUCAAGGUUGGGAACUCAGCUUUAUACAUAACAGAGAGCAGCAGCACGACCCACAGUGCAAGCUACACCUGCACAGCAUCAAACAACAUUACUGGAAUCAGGGCCAGUGCAUCACACACCCUCACAGUACAGUUUUACAGUCUCAGUUCAAGGUGCACUCAAUAAAAUUUGAGUUUAUGUUGUGGUGACACCUAGUGGCAUACCGAUAUCGUUGUAAAAACAAAAAAGAAAAAAAAAAAAGAGAAAAAAAUCAGUCAUGGUUAAUUUAUUCCUGAGCGAAAGCGUCAGUUAAAGGGGAUUAUGUCACCUCAAAAUAGCAACACUCAUAAAUGUGAGCCCAGCACCAUAGAGUAUGUAGAAUUAAGUGGCUUUUCCUCUAAGACUGGUGUAGUCUUCAUCUCAUAUAGGUGUCAUUUUAAAUACAGUAUAUAUAUAUAUUUCAAAAAUACCAUUCUACUUUUUCUUUUUCUUUCUGUUUAAAAGUUUAGCAAUUAGCAAAUUAAUUAAACAAAAUUCAACAAAAUACUGAGUGCACCUCUAAAUCGUAUUCAAUGAUGUAGACCAUUAGCUGAAAUAUACUGUUUGUUAGUUAAAGAACAAAGGUUAGGUUAUGGCUAAUACUAAUCUCAGAUGGUAUACCAGAGGAUAAUAAAUUGAUGCUGUAUAUUAUGUGUUAAUGUUUGUGAGUGUGUGUUUGCCCUAUAUGAUUUUGUUUGUGCUUAUAUAUGUAUGUUGUAAUGCUGUUCUUAUUGGUUGUCUUUAGCUAAAAAGCCUGGGAUGAGUCCUGGAGAAAUAGCAGGUAUCGUAGUGGGAGUUUUAUUGGCAGUGCUCUUAGCAAUUAGUGUCUCUUACAUAAUACACUUUCGGUAAGUCCUCUCUCUGGUCUUUUAAAAAAAAAAAAAAAAUAAAAACACCAAAGGUCAGAUUGUCUUAUAUUAAGGUUUAUGAGAUAAAUACUUUGUCAUAUAUUGUCUAAAGUGACUGAAUAGAUUGAACAGCAUUUAAGCGUGAAAAAGCUGGGAAAUAUACUUUUUUAAAAUAUAAAAUUUAUAAAUAUGGACAGAAUAAAUUAAAUGUUUAUGGAUAUUUCAGAAAGUCAAAUGGCUGUACAUGGAUAGCACCCAGAGAAAGUGAGUUGUCAUUUAGUCAGCUUCAAAUGUUGCUAAUAGUACGACAUCCUGAUAUUAACAUACAGAGUAAAACACUUAUAACAUUGGCAACGAUUGACACUCUGUUAUCUUUGUAAUGAGACACACAGCUGAGGGGGAGAGUGAGAUGGCACAGCCCAAACACACUUCCAGAGAAAAAACAACUGACUUCAAACAUCAGAAUCCCAAAAGACAACACAUAUAUGAGGAUGUCUCAACACCAGAUGAACCCAUUUAUCUAAACUGAAACCAGGUGGACCACCUAAAACACACCAUGCAACCUAAGGCCCUCAUUAGUGGGGACAGCCAGGAAAACUGUCCCAAUGCCCUGUGAUGAGGGGGGCCCAUCAAAGUCUUCUAUAGUAAAGCCUACUCUUUGGACCCUGGGGAGAGGGGGGCCAUGAAUUUUAGCGGCAGCCCUAAUGCAACCAAGUUCUGAUUACAUUAUCUUUUAGUCUAUAUUAUGUACUAUUGCUUUUGGGAAAGUUUGGUGGUUUAUGUCAUGCUUUUAUUUUGAAAUAUAUAAUGUUUUAUAAUUUAAAAUCUCGUGAUCAACAUAAUGGUUGUUAUUUUUUAUUGUCGCUUUCUUAUUUUAAAAUAUGCAACUCAGCUGCUGCCCUUUCUAGAGAUUUUAAAAACAAAAUAAAUUACAGUUAGGUGGUUACAAUUGUUGCAAGCUUUCAUUUAGUAAUGGAUAUAAAUGAAAUUUACUUUAAAACUUAAUAUUUAUGUUUACUAUAGUAAGUGUUUUGUUUUUUAACAAGCAGGCCUACAUAUUUUCCUCAGUGAAUGUUUGCUUCUCUUUGUUAUUUCAGUGAGUUUUGGAUCCUCCUCUUAGAUUUAAUGUUUUAACGGAACAGUCCAGAUGAAGCAGUAUUGUUACCAUGUAAUAAGUCAGGUACUCAUCCCGCAAUAGCCAACUUGAACACUGAAGGGGUCAGUCUCUUGAUUUGUAUUUUGAUCUCUAUGGCAGCCUGCACCUAAUUAGUCAAUGUACACUACAAGGCCAUUAAAAGUAUUAUUAUUCCUCACUGUUUUAACAAGCUAAUGUAUUGGUUUCUUGUUUUGUUUUGUUUUUCCUCACAUAAACCUAUUUUUUGUAUUAUAUCAACUCUAUAUAUAGUAUUAUAUUAACUCUUAACAUAUGUACAAUUAACAGUUGAAAAUACAGACUGGAAUAUUCACAAAAUUUCUCAUUUUGUGUUCCACAUAAGAAAGUCAUACAGAGUCAUACAUAGCAUAAAUUACGACUGAAUUUUCAUUUUUGGGUUUACCAUUCCUUUAAGGCCAAUUUAGGUUUAUGCCAGAUAUUCAAGACACAAAUCAAAUCAACCUUAAAAUGUCUCCUUUUA
Myxocyprinus asiaticus (Chinese sucker) is the source of this 2692-nucleotide long non-coding RNA. RefSeq lists it as uncharacterized. The record is from RefSeq and is a predicted model, not a curated record. The transcript has 4 exons. Lineage: Eukaryota; Metazoa; Chordata; Actinopteri; Cypriniformes; Catostomidae.